Molecule: ribosomal RNA, 469 nt
Filed under: uncultured bacterium
Lineage: Bacteria
Description: partial 16S ribosomal RNA
Rfam family: Bacterial small subunit ribosomal RNA
Source: RNAcentral
GAUGAACGCUGGCGGCGUGCUUAACACAUGCAAGUCGAACGGUGAACACGGAGCUUGCUCUGUGGGAUCAGUGGCGAACGGGUGAGUAACACGUGAGCAACCUGCCCCUGACUCUGGGAUAAGCGCUGGAAACGGCGUCUAAUACUGGAUAUGUGACGUGACCGCAUGGUCUGCGUUUGGAAAGAUUUUUCGGUUGGGGAUGGGCUCGCGGCCUAUCAGCUUGUUGGUGAGGUAAUGGCUCACCAAGGCGUCGACGGGUAGCCGGCCUGAGAGGGUGACCGGCCACACUGGGACUGAGACACGGCCCAGACUCCUACGGGAGGCAGCAGUGGGGAAUAUUGCACAAUGGGCGCAAGCCUGAUGCAGCAACGCCGCGUGAGGGAUGACGGCCUUCGGGUUGUAAACCUCUUUUAGCAGGAAAGAAGCGAAAGUGACGGUACCCGCAGAAAAAGCGCCGGCUAACUACGUG